GGGCACAGGACCGCAGGCAGGGGUCCUGGAGCCAGAGAGCCAAUUCCUAUCCCCUCAGCAGCAUGGCAUCGUGUGUUGAACCCUCUGAGCCCUCUGCCCCCGCCUCCUGCCAGGGUCCCACUGCUCGAGGACUUCGAGGUGCUGGAUGGGGUCGAGAAUGCAGAGGGCAAGGAGGGAGAGGAGGAGGAAGAUGACCUUAGAGAGCUGCCACUGCUGGAGGACAUGGGACAGCCCCUGGUGGAAGAGACUGAACAGCCCGGGACCUUGGCCCGAGAGUUCCUCACUGCCAUGGAGCCUGAGCCUGCCCCGUCCCCGACCCCAGAAGAGUGGCCAGACAUAAUCAGCUGUUGAGGAAGAAGGCGCUUGUCCCAGGGCCACCGGGUUUGAGCUGCCCAGUCAAGGGCCAGGUGGUCACCAUGCAUUUGCAGACAUCACGAGAGAAUGGCAUGUGGGUGCAGGAGGAGCCGGAGCUAGUGUUCACCCUGAGCGUCUGUGAGGUCAUCCAGGCCCUGGAUCUCAGUGUUUAACUCAUGGACGUGGGGGAGGCAGCCAUGGUCACUGCUGACUGCAUGUACUGCUACAGCCCCCAGGACAGGAGCCCAUACAUCCCCCGCACGCGGCCCUAUGCCUGGGGGUGACCCCGAAGAUGGCCGUGGACUGGCCUGACCUGGAGAUGCUCAUAGGGCAGGAGCGCGUGGCCUUGGCCAACCGGAAGUGGGAGUGCAGCAGUGCCCACUACCAGUGGGCGGACUUCGUCCUGGCCACCAACUCCUAUGACCUUGCCAUCAAGACCGUCACCUCCAGCGCCAAAGUGGACAUGACGUUUGAGGAGGAGAAGCAGCUCCUGCAGUUGAGGGUGAGGUGUCUGAACAACCUGGUGGCCUCACAGGUGAAGCUCAACCACUACUGUGCAGCCCUGCGCUCCUGCAACCUCGUUGGAGCACCAUCUGGACAACAUCAAGGCUGUCUUCCACAAGGGCAAGAUACUGCCCCAGCAGGCCAUCCCUAUCCUGAGGGCGGUCCUGAAGCUGGAACCUUCCAACAAGACUAUCCACGCAGAGCUCUCGAAGCUGGUGAAGAAGCACGCAGCACAGCGGAGCACGGAGACCGCUCUGUACUAGAAAAUGCUGGGCAACCCCAGCCGUGCCCCAGCAAGGGUGCCUGGUCCAGCCCAUGGAAGUGGCUGUUUGGGGCGACUGCUGUUGCUUGGGAGGGUGUGGCACUUUCUGUGGUAAUUCCUGCCAGGAACUGACCGCCCAGGUGGCCACCACCCCGUCUGCACACCAUGGACCCUGCCUUGCGCUCCCUAACUCCCCCAGGCUCCCUGUCCACUGCCCUCCCUGGUCCAGCCGCCUCCUCCGAGUUGGAGGCAGCAAGGAUUGGGGGUUGUGCAGCCCAGCCAGUAGGAGGGACUGAGGCCCUCUAGGAGGAAUGCUCAGAGCAAGGGGGCCCUCAUUCCUUCAGACCCAGUUUCCCCCCAACUCCCCAUCUCCCGCUGGGCUAGGUCUCCGCUGGGGCUGGCCUCAACUUCUCCUCAACAGGCUUGGGGGCAGCCCCUGCUGCCUUGCCUGCCCCACGCUGUCUAGGCUGCUUUCCCGCCACAGUGAAAUAAAGCCUCCUACCCUGCAAAAAAAA
Mandrillus leucophaeus (drill) is the source of this 1635-nucleotide RNA transcript. It is a transcript of the gene named peptidyl-prolyl cis-trans isomerase FKBP8 pseudogene, with no coding region annotated. The record is from RefSeq and is a predicted model, not a curated record. NCBI's taxonomy places the organism in Eukaryota, Metazoa, Chordata, Mammalia, Primates, Cercopithecidae. The transcript has a single exon.